This 28-nucleotide non-coding RNA is filed under the name Homo sapiens (human). The record is from RNAcentral. Lineage: Eukaryota; Metazoa; Chordata; Mammalia; Primates; Hominidae.
UCCCACUAGAACAAGCUGAGCUUUGUGC